Molecule: long non-coding RNA, 3057 nt
Organism: Gallus gallus (chicken)
Lineage: Eukaryota; Metazoa; Chordata; Aves; Galliformes; Phasianidae
Exons: 2
Source: RefSeq, a predicted model, not a curated record
CGGCUCUGCUCGGCUCUGCUCGGCUCGGCACGGAGCAACACGGCUGAGCACGGCGCGGCUCACACCGACCAAGCACGGAACGGCACGGCACGGCUCGGAUCGACACCGCGCGGCUCGGCUCGGCCGCCCCGCACCGCGCUCGCCCCGGGGGAGCUGCGGCCCCGCUGGGCCAGCGGCGCUCCGGCGCAGCCAGCCGCGCUCCCCGCCGGGGCUGCUACUGAGCAGCUGCGGGGCGGGCGGCCAAUGGCAGCGCCGCGAGGCGGGGGCGGCCCGGCGGGGCCCGCUCGCGGGAGGCUGCGGGGAAGCCCCGGGAGGGGCUCUCCCGGCUCCGGGCUCUCUCCCCGCCGGGUUUUCCACGGCGGGGGCAAAGCGGCCUUUCGUGUCCGCGCCCCCUCGGCUGCCGCGCCCCGCGGAAACGCCGCCCGAAGAGCCGUGCGGGUCCCGCAGCGCGGUGCCGGUGCCCGUCGGGCCCGUGAACUGCCCCGAGCAGCGCCGCUCCGAUGCCUCUCGAGCCUUAAACCGCUUGGAAACGCGCGCCGGGAACGGCUCGGUUGGGACGGAGAAAUGCGAACGCUGGAAUCCGCCUCGGGAUUUGUUAGGAAGGAGCUCGGGCAGUGCCACGUCUUUUUCCUAAAAGUAUGGAACGGUGCGGCUGCUGUUGGCCUUGGAACUGCGCGUAUCCCGCACUGAAUGCAAGUACGUGGGUUACAGGCAGAGCCAGGCGGGCGAUGUGUGCGCUGCACGGCAGUUGGAAGCUUUCUUCACGGCUGAUAACUCAAAGCUUCACUCACUUCUAUUUUUAUCUUUUUUGGUUUUGUUUUUGUUUUGCACCUUCGCACAAAGCUCCGUUCCCCGUCCUCUCCCGAAACGUACCGCGUUUCCCGUUUCCCACAGCUCUGUACGUCAGCGAGCAGACGGGACGGGCGCUGCCUACCUGCCCACGGCAACGUCCCCGCACCGUCCCGAUCCCCCCGCACCGAGCGCCGCACUCGCGCCCCGUUCCCGGGCGCUGCCCCACGCGGGGUGCCGCACCUCCGGGCGCUGCGCGGCUGCUGCGGGGAACGCGCUGCCGCCUCGAGCUGCGCCCACCGCGUAACCAUCGACGGAAGGAAUCGCCCCUCCCGGCCGACGGGCAGCGGUCCCGGGCGGGGGGCGGGAGCUGCCGCUGUUGCGGGCGUUGUACGGGAGCGGGAGCCGCUGGCAGAGCUGAGGGUGACGGACUGCUGCGGGUCCGGCGGUCACUUUAAAAAGACCCUUCGGCGCCCCCAAAGAGCCGUCCCUUCUCCGCAGCUCGGCUGCGUCCCCCCGGUACCUGCGGGCACCCCCGGGCGGGGCUGUGCUCACAGCGGCGGUGAGAUGCGACUUCACCGGGCGAGGAGGUAUUUGUAACAUGAAUUCUGUUCUCCGGGAGCUGCGGGUACAUCCCAGCGGACUUCGCACGAGUCGCUCCGGGCGGCGGCCGCCCCUCGCACGGCCGAAGCUCUCAUUUCGAUCCGGUCGCGGGCUCGGAUACGGCGGAGGUGCCGACUCCCGACUGAUGCGUCUGGGCGAAGCUCCGGACGGAAUUACUUUUCGCAUUCAUUUGUGCAGAACGGCUCCGUGCGGGCACAGCGAGCAGCGGGAGCGGCUGCGGCACCGGGUUAGGAGCGGCGCGGGGCUGCGGGGCUGCGGGGCUGCGGCGCUGUGCUGCGAGGCUCCCCCGGCGCCGUUCCUCCCCGCUGGAUUUAGCACCGUUUGAGAAGGCUGCGAAGCUUCGUCCGCCAGGAAGAGAAAAAAAGAAAAGUCGUUUGUGCAUUUUGACUUUUAUUCCAAUGAACGCUGCCGACAGCAACGAGAGCCGGCCCUCCUGGAUCUCCAUGAAGCCCUACAACACUCCUUGCUUCGCACUCUCCCCCACCUCCGUGGAGCUCUGCCUGGCGGUUGCUGCCUGCAGAAAGCCCAGAGCCCAACAUCUGAAGGAUGUUUUAAAGCGUGGGGGGUUGCAUCAUGGCCAGAGCACGGCUAUUUGCAGCGUCACAAGAGCAGCUCCCAGGCUGCACCACGUCAGGUUUCUGCAUGCAGGAGGACAAACGCACAGCACUGUGAUGUACACCCAUCUGCCUUCCUGUACGAGCAAAUGGGUGCACGCACAGGGGUGGAAAUGGCAAGUACUACACUGAAGAAAGGCCUAUGCUUGGGCACAGAUUUGGGGCCCUGAAACAUUUUCCCAUCACCUGAAUGAACGCAAACUUGGACAGUGGCAAAAUCUGACUACAGGCCAGACCUAAAUAGGGCAUUUAGAUGUGCUGACCCUGAGCACAGCUCUAAGUCUCACAUGCCUGAGAGGAACAUGGGAACUGCCAAUGGAUGUCCAAGGCUCAUCUGGCCCAUAGGGACCAGGUAGGUGCAGCAGGUCAGGCUGCAGUGUCACUGGCACCUCUUGUCAGCACUCUUGUCCAUUGAGUCUUGGAGUUUUUCAUCUGAAGUUUUACAAAGGAUUUUUAUUUUUUAAGAAAACAAAAGGAACAUGAACAACAUCUCAUGUUAUCUCUGUUUGAAUCCCACAGGGCAGCAAAAGAUCUGGGCAUGGAUGACUUCCAGUGUCUUCUAAAGCACUACCCGGUGAGCCGGCAUAGCAGAGAGCAGCGUGGCUUACCUCUGUAAAUGGAGAAGUCUGAGUGUCUGCUCUCUGGAGAGGCCUUCUGACUACACCUCCAGGAUAGGAAGAUGCCAAGUACUGCUUAUGGUGUUCUACUUCAGCUACUGCUUGCCACCAAAAGAUCCUGUGUGUCUUCUUCUGAAAAGUAUCGUUUCAGUCCUUAGCAGAAGCAGGGCAUUAAAAUAGAAGAAUAGCUAACAUGCAAUAUUGCUGUUAAAAUUAUUAAAAAUGGAGAAUAAAAUUUGCAUUACAAAAUGUUUAUUUUCUGCAGCUGCAGACAUCCAGCCACGAGAAGUAUUAUUUCUGAAGGAUUCAAGAUGUUGGAAGAAACAGUUACAGACAGCCUUCCUCCAGCAGCUUCAAAACUUCUGUUCUAUUCAUUCUCCAAAUAAAAUAAAAUUAGAGGUAUUUUUAUUCAA